Molecule: ribosomal RNA, 253 nt
Filed under: uncultured bacterium
Lineage: Bacteria
Description: partial 16S ribosomal RNA
Rfam family: Bacterial small subunit ribosomal RNA
Source: RNAcentral
UACGUAGGGUGCAAGCGUUGUCCGGAAUUAUUGGGCGUAAAGAGCUCGUAGGCGGUCUGUCGCGUCUGCUGUGAAAACUCGGGGCUUAACCCCGGGCCUGCAGUGGGUACGGGCAGACUAGAGUGCGGUAGGGGAGACUGGAAUUCCUGGUGUAGCGGUGAAAUGCGCAGAUAUCUGGAGGAACACCGGUGGCGAAGGCGGCAUCCUGGACCGGCAUUGACGCUGAGGAGCGAAAGCCAGGGGAGCAAACGGG